GCCUCGCUAGCUCAAUCGGUAGAGCAGCUGACUCUUAAUCAGUUUGUUUCAGGUUCAAGUCCUGAGCGGGGUACCA
RNAcentral lists this transfer RNA (76 nucleotides) under Verrucomicrobiaceae bacterium. Its description in RNAcentral is "tRNA-Lys". It matches the Rfam family "tRNA". Rfam says of the family: Transfer RNA (tRNA) molecules are approximately 80 nucleotides in length. Their secondary structure includes four short double-helical elements and three loops (D, anti-codon, and T loops). Further hydrogen bonds mediate the characteristic L-shaped molecular structure. tRNAs have two regions of fundamental functional importance: the anti-codon, which is responsible for specific mRNA codon recognition, and the 3' end, to which the tRNAs corresponding amino acid is attached (by aminoacyl-tRNA synthetases). tRNAs cope with the degeneracy of the genetic code in two manners: having more than one tRNA (with a specific anti-codon) for a particular amino acid; and 'wobble' base-pairing, i.e. permitting non-standard base-pairing at the 3rd anti-codon position. The record is from RNAcentral. Lineage: Bacteria; Pseudomonadati; Verrucomicrobiota; Verrucomicrobiia; Verrucomicrobiales; Verrucomicrobiaceae.